Molecule: long non-coding RNA, 477 nt
Filed under: Mus spicilegus (steppe mouse)
Lineage: Eukaryota; Metazoa; Chordata; Mammalia; Rodentia; Muridae
Description: lncRNA (ENSMSIG00000018830.1)
Source: RNAcentral
CUCAAAGUUGAAAGUAAGGAAGAUUUACAAAGAUUUCCAUGAAGAUAGAGCUGCAGAGUAUCAACUUCACUUCACCAAUGUGGGAUGCUUCUCCAACCUCCUCAUUAUUACUUCCUCUCCUUGGCAUUUACAGUUCCCAGAUGAGAAUGAGGGUUUUGGCUACCAAGUGUAUCUAUUCUCUGACUUCAGUGUCUAGAAGAACAUUAAAAAGAAAAGGAAUUGAGAAAGAAAGAAGCAAGCAAGCAAACAAACAAACAAAGAGAAGUAGUCGUUUCGAGGUAAAGUCACCAUUAUUCUUAUAUUAUUGCAUGUGAAGUCAUUUUUACCACAUUUCAACCAUAUCAAUUGCCAACUUGAAUGAAUACAUGUCCAGAGUGUUCUCUCCUCUAUUCGUCAGGCUCUGCUAAAGAGAAACCGCCAACCACAAACCUGAAAGGAUAAAUGAAUGACAACAAUCCUGUAUCUGGUCUGUAAACC